This 433-nucleotide ribosomal RNA is filed under the name uncultured bacterium. RNAcentral describes it as "partial 16S ribosomal RNA". It matches the Rfam family "Bacterial small subunit ribosomal RNA", at positions 29 to 507 of the family's 1533-position model. The record is from RNAcentral.
AACGAACGCUGGCGGCAGGCCUAACACAUGCAAGUCGAGCGAGGACUUCGGUUCUAGCGGCGGACGGGUGAGUAACGCGUGGGAAUGUGCCCUUCUCUACGGAAUAGCCCUGGGAAACUGGGAGUAAUACCGUAUACGCCCUUUUGGGGAAAGAUUUAUCGGAGAAGGAUCAGCCCGCGUUGGAUUAGGUAGUUGGUGGGGUAAUGGCCUACCACGCCGACGUUCCAUAGCUGGUUUGUGGGGCUGAUCAGCCACACUGGGACUGAGACACGGCCCAGACUCCUACGGGAGGCAGCAGUGGGGAAUCUUAGACUAUGGGGGCAACCCUGAUCUAGCCAUGCCGCGUGAGUGAUGAAGGCCUUAGGGUUGUAAAGCUCUUUCAGCUGGGAAGAUAAUGACGGUACCAGCAGAAGAAGCCCCGGCUAACUCCGUG